Molecule: ribosomal RNA, 282 nt
Filed under: Triticum aestivum (bread wheat)
Lineage: Eukaryota; Viridiplantae; Streptophyta; Magnoliopsida; Poales; Poaceae
Description: partial small subunit ribosomal RNA
Source: RNAcentral
GAUCCAUGAGUCUACAUACAUAGAUUCUGUUCAUGGAUUAACGAAAAUGUGCAAGAGCUCUAUUUGCCUUUGUCAUUCUAUGAGCCACUUCCUUUUUGCGUAUGGCAUCCCACUCCCUUUGUGAUGAUAGACACACUAUAUAACUAUGUUUCAACUAAGAAACAAAGUAUCCAGUUCAUUACAGUCAAACUGUUAUCACACACAACAUUGAAACCGUACCUCAAGUUGGCUAGUUACUAUGUGUAUUUUCUUUGCUAUUGGACAACGCAAGAGGCUAAUUGA